AUACGUAGGGUGCGAGCGUUGUCCGGAAUUACUGGGCGUAAAGAGCUCGUAGGUGGUUUGUCGCGUCGUCUGUGAAAUUCCUGGGCUUAACUCCGGGCGUGCAGGCGAUACGGGCAUAACUUGAGUACUGUAGGGGAGACUGGAAUUCCUGGUGUAGCGGUGAAAUGCGCAGAUAUCAGGAGGAACACCGGUGGCGAAGACGGGUCUCUGGGCAGUAACUGACGCUGAGGAGCGAAAGCAUGGGUAGCGAACAGGAUUAGAUACCCUGGUAGUCCAUGCCGUAAACGGUGGGCGCUAGGUGUAGGGGUCUUCCACGACUUCUGUGCCGUAGCUAACGCAUUAAGCGCCCCGCCUGGGGAGUACGGCCGCAAGGCUAAAACUCAAAUGAAUUGGCGGGG
Molecule: ribosomal RNA, 398 nt
Filed under: uncultured bacterium
Lineage: Bacteria
Description: partial 16S ribosomal RNA
Rfam family: Bacterial small subunit ribosomal RNA
Source: RNAcentral